GAUGAACGCUGGCGGCGUGCCUAAUACAUGCAAGUCGAGCGAACAGAUAAGGAGCUUGCUCCUUUGACGUUAGCGGCGGACGGGUGAGUAACACGUGGGUAACCUACCUAUAAGACUGGAAUAACUCCGGGAAACCGGGGCUAAUGCCGGAUAACAUUUAGAACCGCAUGGUUCUAAAGUGAAAGAUGGUUUUGCUAUCACUUAUAGAUGGACCCGCGCCGUAUUAGCUAGUUGGUAAGGUAACGGCUUACCAAGGCAACGAUACGUAGCCGACCUGAGAGGGUGAUCGGCCACACUGGAACUGAGACACGGUCCAGACUCCUACGGGAGGCAGCAGUAGGGAAUCUUCCGAAAUGGGCGAAAGCCUGACGGAGCAACGCCGCGUGAGUGAUGAAGGUCUUCGGAUCGUAAAACUCUGUUAUUAGGGAAGAACAAAUGUGUAAGUAACUGUGCACGUCUUGACGGUACCUAAUCAGAAAGCCACGGCUAACUACGUG
Molecule: ribosomal RNA, 497 nt
Filed under: uncultured bacterium
Lineage: Bacteria
Description: partial 16S ribosomal RNA
Rfam family: Bacterial small subunit ribosomal RNA
Source: RNAcentral